UGAAAUAACAAAAAAUAAGAAAAUUAAACGAAAUUUCCAAGGUGCCAUCAUUCAAAAAAUUUAUAACUUUUUUGUGUCGUAUUUACAAAUCUGGCAACAGAUGAAAACGAUGCCUUAGGAGUUCAGUAAUAGUAAUAUGAAAAUAAUAUAAUAAUUGCAUGAGUCCAAAAAUAAAUAAAAGUAAUACGACAGAACAUAACUAACAACCCUCGUAUAAAUAGAAGUAUCGUUAAUCUUUUCGGAACCAGUUAAUUCUACUCUAUCGGACCUGCCACGGUAUGAGGUCACCAGUUUCCCGUUCCUUCUUCAAAUGCCACACUGCCUUCCAGUACAGUUUGGGCGGGACCUUCGGGCAUGCUUCCUCCAGCUUGUCCAGUAGAAAUCCAAUAUGGACUCCAGUCGUCACAAUAACCGUGGUCACCAUCUCCAGGGUUAGCGCUUCGUGGCCAGAAGCGCCAACAGUAUAUUUCCCAGGCUCCGCCUCCGGGUUUUGUGCUUCCAUUAGUUCCCGCACUGAUACUUGCUUCAGAACCAGCUUCGCACACACACGGCUCCACUCGGAACGCCACUGCAGUCGCACCGGAUCGGAGUAAUCGAGUAGACUGCGCGCCGACAUCCCAAGCCGGCAAACAAUGAUGACCGGCACUUUGACCUUUUUAGCCGUCAGCAUUUCGAGAAUGCGGUUGGAGAUAGUAGCACUGAGUUCCAGCAUCGGCAUACGCGGCGGCAGGUCAACUGUGUGAAAAUGUCGAGGAAGGAAAACGCUUCGGUGAGGAUUUCUACAGGAACCAGGCCGAUGCGCAUCGGCUGGAGGCUGUCCGGUUCUUCCGCGUUUUUCAUCUAAUAACGUUAUUGCAAUUUUAAAUGGGCGUCUGACUUGUGCGAGGUAAAAUAAAAAUUUUAUGCUAGAAGAAACCGCUUAUUUUUACCGAAAUAGCUUGCCGGGGCGUCGAAAUGGGAGCGAGAUUUAACAAGACGUCUUUGUCGAAACACGGGUUCGUCCCCGCCUCUUGAUAAUGAUCAGCCAAAGAAAUCUCUACCAUUCUGAGAACAGCCGCCUAAAAAGAGAAGCUCAUCGCUCCAUCUGGCAAUGUCAACAAUAUGCUUGAAGUACGUGUUAGAGCAUGUCCAUUCCUGCUGCGCACUUUCCAGCGGCAUGACCUUUUCCCAUCGCACCACAUCUCGCGCAACCUGCCCGUCGAGCUCAAUCUCCACAAACGCAUACUGCAAUGCGGCAUUGCCGGCAAGAAGUGUGGAAGGAUACCAUCUCCACGGCUGGUUCGGUGCGGGUUGUAGCAGUGUCCGUACGCGAUCGCCAACCACAGCGGGAGGAUGAACAGGCUGGUCGCGGCACCGUGCCAUGCUGACCGUUUCCGCACGAUGGUUCGCACAACCGAAAUCAAUGGUGAACCGGCCACCGACAGGAUCGACGUCGCAGAUCAUUCCGUGCCUGAUCGAUUUAUCAUCGUUGUCGCGCACCGCGACCGCACCGAAGCGCCAAACAUCCACCCGAAACAUUUUGAGAUCUCCUUAGUUGUAUUUUGUGUCGAGCAAGUAAGUAGUAAGUACUUAAUAGAUUACAGGUUUUCAACAAAGAAAACUUUAAAACGAUGAAAAGAGUAAUAUAAUUUCAAAACCACAUAUAGUACAUACACACAAAACCUAAUGCUGCCGGGGCAAAAGAUUGUCACCGCGCUU
This is a long non-coding RNA of Paramacrobiotus metropolitanus, 1698 nucleotides long. RefSeq lists it as uncharacterized. The record is from RefSeq and is a predicted model, not a curated record. NCBI's taxonomy places the organism in Eukaryota, Metazoa, Tardigrada, Eutardigrada, Parachela, Macrobiotidae. The transcript has 3 exons.